RNAcentral lists this antisense RNA (77 nucleotides) under Citrobacter freundii. RNAcentral describes it as "symR". It matches the Rfam family "SymR antitoxin". The record is from RNAcentral. Lineage: Bacteria; Pseudomonadati; Pseudomonadota; Gammaproteobacteria; Enterobacterales; Enterobacteriaceae.
AGUCAUGAUGGCUAUUCUCGUGAAAUAGUUGCUGUGAUUAGCGAUGCGGAGGUGUUGGCGCACCUUCGCAUCGCGCU